RNAcentral lists this non-coding RNA (79 nucleotides) under chicken gut metagenome. Its description in RNAcentral is "Glycine riboswitch". It matches the Rfam family "Glycine riboswitch aptamer", at positions 7 to 88 of the family's 94-position model. From Rfam's summary of the family: This family represents the bacterial glycine riboswitch. Glycine riboswitches usually consist of two metabolite-binding aptamers domains with similar structures in tandem. The record is from RNAcentral.
GCAAUCUGGAGACACCCGCAUCCGCGGGGGCCGAAGGGGCAAGACGCAUCGCGACACUCUCAGGCAAAAGGACAGACUG